GGGAAACUAUUUAUUUAUCUCUUUCUCUUAAGUAGUUGUCUGAAAUAACCAGUGGAAUAAUCUUUGAUUUGUGAUGUCAUAGAAGAUCAUUUCCUGUUGUGCUGAUUUUCAUCUUGAAUUUUCUUUAUUGCAGUGACCGGGAGGAGUUUUGCUGAGAGGGACUUUAGAAAUGGACUCGACAACGGCUUCUUACUAUGCGAGAACUCGAACUGCGUCCUCUAGGGGUCGCUAUGGGGAACGCCAUCUCUGUGACCCAUGUCUGAAGCUUAUAUACAACAAUGACAACAGUGUUGGCCGGCGACAGCCUAUGACGUCACUUCCAGCGUGACUCGUCACUGCUGG
Labeo rohita (rohu) is the source of this 342-nucleotide long non-coding RNA. RefSeq lists it as uncharacterized. The transcript is spliced from 3 exons. The record is from RefSeq and is a predicted model, not a curated record. NCBI's taxonomy places the organism in Eukaryota, Metazoa, Chordata, Actinopteri, Cypriniformes, Cyprinidae.